This 23-nucleotide small nuclear RNA is filed under the name Arabidopsis thaliana (thale cress). RNAcentral's name for it is "snRNA_11798". The record is from RNAcentral. Lineage: Eukaryota; Viridiplantae; Streptophyta; Magnoliopsida; Brassicales; Brassicaceae.
AAGUUGAUGACAUAUCAUUUUGU